GGGAGGAGCUCCGCCCAGAAAGCUUUUCAGCUCCUCGGAGAACGCUGAGUUGUCUUCUUCUCUGAAACUGGAUUUUGUCUCCCUCAUAAUCAAAGGAGCUCACUCAUGGUGAGGAAACUGCUUAUGGCCUGUUAUCCAAGACUCAGCAUAACUAGAUACUUGGAACUGAAGAGAAGAAAUUUUGUGAAGCAUUUCUACAGUAAGCUUGACAGCUGGAAAAAUAUUGAUCGAGAUUCUCCAGACCCCCAUCACAUCCAAGAAAAUGUCAUCUGUGGCAACAUGAAGUUAUCCACAAAGGAAAUGGCUCUAUAAGAAAAUGGAGGCUCCUCCAAGGAUGGCAUCGUCUCCCUAUAGCUCCUUUGCUCCCCCACAGACAAGGGCCAUGGAGAGGAAGGGCCCUGCUGUCUUCUUCAACAAGUGAAUUCUGAAAACUGGGGAAUUCUCAGAAUGGGAAAUUCUUAAAACAUUUGCAUUUCCAAUAACUGACCCAUUUGUAGUAUGGAAAAUUCUUUCCCAUUCUCUAUAACAAAUGUGGCCUACUGAAAUGACACAAUCUGCUUAAAAUCUUGUAAUACUUUGCUCAUUUCUUGCCCACUUUGCCAAGCCCAUCAACCUCUCAUAUGUUUGCCAUUUUCUCUUGGAAAUCGGCCCUGCCUGAGACACCCUGGCCACAUUCAGAACCGCCUCUCUGCAUGCCUGCAGGAUUUGAAUGGAGUACCUCGCAGACAGUACACUUCCCCUGAUCUGUCGGGGAUGCACAAAGCUUCUCUGAGAAAUUGUCUCCAGCUUUCUGAAAAUAGUUUGGCUUCCCCCCCCCCCAAAUUCUUCAACAGAUCUUCUUCAAAUCCCAGCUCGGAAGUCAACUGCAAUGAGUGAGAAAGAACCUUUUUCCUCCCAGGAAGAUGUGGUGGGGACGGUAUUGAGUAGUUCAGACAUUCUGGCCAGGAGAGCAUCUUGAAAGCUGCAGCUCCCUGAUGACGUGGAUGUCAUUGCCCAUAAAGAAUAUUCCGUGAAGAACAGCUGCACACCAAGGCAAGCAUUACUCACCAAGGAUCUCCUCCUCGUUUAUUUGUUGUGAAUGACUGAAGACUCCAACCUGCUUUUGCCAAGUGUCUGUCAGCAGAAUUGGAGUUCUGCUCAAAAUCUGAGUUUAGAAUCCACAAGAGUUUAAUUCCUGCUCUAAACUACAAUUCUGAUAUAUAUGUGGGAACUUGCAAAAGCAAAUGUAAUGAGAUGCUCUGAAUCCAGAGAAAUAACUAAAAUUCUACAGAGCAGACGUCUCCAAGUUUGGCUGUGUACCCUUGCUGUACCAGUAACAAAAGAAUGCUCCCCAAUGUGCUUAUUUGUAGAUUAUAGACAUGGAGAAGCAUUCAAAUGUGUUAUGCAUAUUAUAGGUCUAGUCUACAUAUUAUGUAUUGGUGUAGCUGAAUUUCUUAUUUUACAUAUCAAGCUAAACUUAAAUAGAUACUGUAAUAUUUCCAUCCAUAGCCAAGUGGUCCAUCCUGUUCCUCAAUCUGGAGAUCACUAGCAUUAGCAUCUCCUCUGCUGGAUGCUUUAUUGAGUCCAAUGACCUGAUUCCAAUCUCAAUGUA
Molecule: long non-coding RNA, 1591 nt
Organism: Crotalus tigris (Tiger rattlesnake)
Lineage: Eukaryota; Metazoa; Chordata; Lepidosauria; Squamata; Viperidae
Exons: 3
Source: RefSeq, a predicted model, not a curated record